This 73-nucleotide transfer RNA is filed under the name Marmota monax (woodchuck). RNAcentral describes it as "tRNA.Ala". Lineage: Eukaryota; Metazoa; Chordata; Mammalia; Rodentia; Sciuridae. The record is from RNAcentral.
CUGGGGCUGGGGUUCAGUGGUAGAGUGCCCGCCUUGCACGUGUGAGUCACUGGGUUCGAUCCUCCGCACCACA